UCAACGGAUAAAAGGUACUCCGGGGAUAACAGGCUGAUACCGCCCAAGAGUUCAUAUCGACGGCGGUGUUUGGCACCUCGAUGUCGGCUCAUCACAUCCUGGGGCUGAAGUAGGUCCCAAGGGUAUGGCUGUUCGCCAUUUAAAGUGGUACGCGAGCUGGGUUUAGAACGUCGUGAGACAGUUCGGUCCCUAUCUGCCGUGGGCGCUGGAGAACUGAGGGGGGCUGCUCCUAGUACGAGAGGACCGGAGUGGACGCAUCACUGGUGUUCGGGUUGUCAUGCCAAUGGCACUGCCCGGUAGCUAAAUGCGGAAGAGAUAAGUGCUGAAAGCAUCUAAGCACGAAACUUGCCCCGAGAUGAGUUCUCCCUGAGACUUAG
Molecule: ribosomal RNA, 377 nt
Filed under: Salmonella enterica
Lineage: Bacteria; Pseudomonadati; Pseudomonadota; Gammaproteobacteria; Enterobacterales; Enterobacteriaceae
Also listed under: 1 other name
Description: partial 23S ribosomal RNA
Rfam family: Bacterial large subunit ribosomal RNA
Source: RNAcentral